This 492-nucleotide ribosomal RNA is filed under the name uncultured bacterium. Its description in RNAcentral is "partial 16S ribosomal RNA". It matches the Rfam family "Bacterial small subunit ribosomal RNA", at positions 29 to 507 of the family's 1533-position model. The record is from RNAcentral.
AGUGAACGCUGGCGGUAGGCCUAACACAUGCAAGUCGAACGGCAGCACAGUAAGAGCUUGCUCUUACGGGUGGCGAGUGGCGGACGGGUGAGGAAUACAUCGGAAUCUACUUUUUCGUGGGGGAUAACGUAGGGAAACUUACGCUAAUACCGCAUACGACCUACGGGUGAAAGCAGGGGAUCUUCGGACCUUGCGCGAUUGAAUGAGCCGAUGUCGGAUUAGCUAGUUGGCGGGGUAAAGGCCCACCAAGGCGACGAUCCGUAGCUGGUCUGAGAGGAUGAUCAGCGACACUGGAACUGAGACACGGUCCAGACUCCUACGGGAGGCAGCAGUGGGGAAUAUUGGACAAUGGGCGCAAGCCUGAUCCAGCCAUUCCGCGUGGGUGAAGAAGGCCUUCGGGUUGUAAAGCCCUUUUGUUGGGAAAGAAAAGCAGCAGGUUAAUACCCCGCUGUUCUGACGGUACCCAAAGAAUAAGCACCGGCUAACUUCGUG